AAGUCGAACGAAGUAGCAAUACUUAGUGGCAGACGGGUGAGUAACAUGUAGGUAUCUGCCCUUUGGCCUGGAAUAACACGAGGAAACUUGUGCUAAUACCGGAUAAGUCUUUACGGAGAAAGCUUUAUGCACCAUUGGAUGAGCCUGCACUUGAUUAGUUUGUUGGUGGGGUAAUGGCCUACCAAGACUGUGAUCAAUAGCUGAUUUGAGAGGAUGAUCAGCCACAUUGGGACUGAGACACGGCCCAAACUCCUACGGGAGGCAGCAGUGGGGAAUCUUGCACAAUGGAGGAAACUCUGAUGCAGCGAUGCCGCGUGAGUGAAGAAGGCCCUUGGGUUGUAAAGCUCUUUCGUCGGGGAAGAAAAUGACUGUACCCGAAUAAGAAGGUCCGGCUAACUUCGUGCCAGCAGCCGCGGUAAUACGAAGGGACCUAGCGUAGUUCGGAAUUACUGGGCUUAAAGAGUUCGUAGGUGGUUGAAAAAGUUAGUGGUGAAAUCCCAGAGCUUAACUCUGGAACUGCCAUUAAAACUUUUCAGCUAGAGUAUGAUAGAGGAAAGCAGAAUUUCUAGUGUAGAGGUGAAAUUCGUAGAUAUUAGAAAGAAUACCAAAUGCGAAGGCAGCUUUCUGGAUCAUUACUGACACUGAGGAACGAAAGCAUGGGUAGCGAAGAGGAUUAGAUACCCUCGUAGUCCAUGCCGUAAACGAUGUGUGUUAGACGUUGGAAAUUUAUUUUCAGUGUCGCAGCGAAAGCGAUAAACACACCGCCUGGGGAGUACGACCGCAAGGUUAAAACUCAAAUGAAUUGACGGGGACCCGCACAAGUAGUGGAGCAUGUGGUUUAAUUCGAAGAUACGCGCAGAACCUUACCAACACUUGACAUGUUCGUCGCGACUCUAAGAGAUUAGAGUUUUCGGUUCGGCCGGACGAAACACAGGUGCUGCAUGGCUGUCGUCAGCUCGUGUCGUGAGAUGUUGGGUUAAGUCCCGCAACGAGCGCAACCCUCACUUUUAGUUGCCAUCAUUAAGUUGGGCACUCUGAAAGAACUGCCAGUGAUAAGCUGGAGGAAGGUGGGGAUGACGUCAAGUCCUCAUGGCCCUUACGUGUUGGGCUACACACGUGCUACAAUGACACUUACAGUGGGAAGCUAAGACGCGAGUCCAAGCUAAUCCCUAAAAUGUGUCUCAGUUCGGAUUGCACUCUGUAACUCGAGUGCAUGAAGCUGGAAUUACUAGUAAUCGCGGAUCAGCGCGCCGCGGUGAAUACGUUCCCGGGUCUUGUACACACCGCCCGUCACACCAUGGAAGUUGGUUACACCUUAAGGCAAAUCGUCAACCUUCGGGAG
RNAcentral lists this ribosomal RNA (1342 nucleotides) under uncultured Pelagibacterales bacterium. Its description in RNAcentral is "uncultured SAR11 cluster alpha proteobacterium 16S ribosomal RNA". It matches the Rfam family "Bacterial small subunit ribosomal RNA". Lineage: Bacteria; Pseudomonadati; Pseudomonadota; Alphaproteobacteria; Candidatus Pelagibacterales. The record is from RNAcentral.